This 514-nucleotide ribosomal RNA is filed under the name uncultured bacterium. RNAcentral describes it as "partial 16S ribosomal RNA". It matches the Rfam family "Bacterial small subunit ribosomal RNA", at positions 28 to 523 of the family's 1533-position model. The record is from RNAcentral.
GAUGAACGCUGGCGGCGUGCCUAAUACAUGCAAGUCGAGCGAACUGAUUAGAAGCUUGCUUCUAUGACGUUAGCGGCGGACGGGUGAGUAACACGUGGGCAACCUGCCUGUAAGACUGGGAUAACUUCGGGAAACCGAAGCUAAUACCGGAUAGGAUUUUCUCCUUCAUGGGAGAUGAUUGAAAGAUGGUUUCGGCUAUCACUUACAGAUGGGCCCGCGGUGCAUUAGCUAGUUGGUGAGGUAACGGCUCACCAAGGCAACGAUGCAUCGCCGACCUGAGAGGGUGAUCGGCCACACUGGGACUGAGAAACGGCCCAGACUCCUACGGGAGGCAGCAGUAGGGAAUCUUCCGCAAUGGACGAAAGUCUGACGGAGCAACGCCGCGUGAGUGAUGAAGGCUUUCGGGUCGUAAAACUCUGUUGUUAGGGAAGAACAAGUACAAGAGUAACUGCUUGUACCUUGACGGUACCUAACCAGAAAGCCACGGCUAACUACGUGCCAGCCGCCGCGGUAA